AUUGCAGGCUGCAACUCGCCUGCAUGAAGUCGGAAUUGCUAGUAAUCGUGGAUCAGCAUGCCACGGUGAAUACGUUCCCGGGCCUUGUACACACCGCCCGUCACACCAUGGGAGUCGGUAACACCCGAAGCCUGUAGUCUAACCGCAAGGAGGACGCAGUCGAAGGUGGGAUUGAUGACUGGGGUGAAGUCGUAACAAGGUACC
RNAcentral lists this ribosomal RNA (204 nucleotides) under uncultured bacterium. RNAcentral's name for it is "partial 16S ribosomal RNA". It matches the Rfam family "Bacterial small subunit ribosomal RNA", at positions 1297 to 1500 of the family's 1533-position model. The record is from RNAcentral.